UUCGCAAUGCCCGAAAGGGUGACGAAGCGACGCCGCGUGUGGGAAGAAGGCCUUCGGGUUGUAAACCACUGUCGGGAGUUAAGAAAUGCAAGGAUAUUAAUAGUGUCUUUGUUUGACUAAGGCUCCGGAGGAAGCCACGGCUAACUCUGUGCCAGCAGCCGCGGUAAUACAGAGGCGGCAAGCGUUGUUCGGAAUUAUUGGGCGUAAAGAGCACGUAGGCGGCUAUGUAAGUCGGUUGUGAAAGCCUUCCGCUCAACGGAAGAACAGCAUCCGAUACUACAUGGCUUGAGUGCGGGAGGGGAGAGUGGAACUUCUGGUGGAACGGUGAAAUGCGUAGAUAUCAGAGGGAACGCCGGCGGCGAAAGCGGCUCUCUGGCCCAUAACUGACGCUGAGUGUGCGAAAGCUAGGGGAGCAAACGGGAUUAGAUACCCCGGUAGUCCUAGCCGUAAACGAUGGGCACUAAGUAGAGGGGUUUU
Molecule: ribosomal RNA, 477 nt
Filed under: uncultured bacterium
Lineage: Bacteria
Description: bacterial SSU rRNA
Rfam family: Bacterial small subunit ribosomal RNA
Source: RNAcentral